Molecule: long non-coding RNA, 403 nt
Filed under: Fukomys damarensis (Damara mole-rat)
Lineage: Eukaryota; Metazoa; Chordata; Mammalia; Rodentia; Bathyergidae
Description: lncRNA (ENSFDAG00000027466.1)
Source: RNAcentral
CUCAGAGCUGUAAAUCACACCACUAAAUCUGCCAUGAGCAACAGAGGCUGCUGGAAGGAAGAGAAAGAAAGUGUGGUGUUGACUCUCAGUUUCUGGUACACGCUGGGUGUGCUGGAGCUGCCAGGAGCCUCUCCUGAGCCUCAUCUCUAUUCCAGCCAUGAUCUGUUGGCCCUUCUACUGGCAAAGCGACCAAGUCUCUGUCCGCUUGCAACUGUAGACUGCAGUAGGCAUGGUGCUGGAGUUGUGGAGACUUUGCUGGGAAGCUGGGUGGUUAGAGCGCUGUAGAGAACUCAGAAAAGCAGGUUAAGAUCCAAAUUGGACUCUUCGCUUACCUGCAAUAAGAUGUGUGAUUUUAGCAAAACUUUAAAACUCUCUAGAUCAUGAUCUCCUCAUCUGUUUGGAG